CCUACGGGAGGCAGCAGUGAGGAAUAUUGGUCAAUGGGCGCGAGCCUGAACCAGCCAAGUCGCGUGAGGGAAGACGGUCCUAUGGAUUGUAAACCUCUUUUGUCGGGGAGCAAAAGCCGCCACGCGUGGCGUUCCGAGAGUACCCGAAGAAAAAGCAUCGGCUAACUCCGUGCCAGCAGCCGCGGUAAUAAGGAGGAUGCGAGCGUUAUCCGGAUUUAUUGGGUUUAAAGGGUGCGCAGGCGGAAGAUCAAGUCAGCGGUAAAAUUGAGGGGCUCAACCUCUUCGAGCCGUUGAAACUGGUUGUCUUGAGUGAGUGAGAAGUAUGCGGAAUGCGUGGUGUAGCGGUGAAAUGCAUAGAUAUCACGCAGAACUCCGAUUGCGAAGGCAGCAUACCGGCGCUCAACUGACGCUGAUGCACGAAAGUGUGGGUAUCGAACAGGAUUAGAUACCCCUGUAGUC
This 459-nucleotide ribosomal RNA is filed under the name uncultured bacterium. RNAcentral's name for it is "partial 16S ribosomal RNA". It matches the Rfam family "Bacterial small subunit ribosomal RNA", at positions 338 to 795 of the family's 1533-position model. The record is from RNAcentral.